RNAcentral lists this ribosomal RNA (274 nucleotides) under uncultured bacterium. Its description in RNAcentral is "partial 16S ribosomal RNA". It matches the Rfam family "Bacterial small subunit ribosomal RNA", at positions 523 to 796 of the family's 1533-position model. The record is from RNAcentral.
AUACGUAGGGAGCGAGCGUUGUUCGGAUUUACUGGGCGUAAAGGGCAGGUAGGCGGGUAUGUAAGUCGAUUGUGAAAUCCUCUGGCUCAACCAGAGAAUUGCAGUCGAAACUACAUACCUUGAGUUCAGCAGAGGGAAUCGGAAUCCUAGGUGUAGCGGUGAAAUGCGUAGAUAUCUAGGAGAACACCAGUGGCGAAGGCGGAUUCCUGGGCUGACACUGACGCUGAGCUGCGAAAGCGUGGGUAGCGAACAGGAUUAGAAACCCCAGUAGUCC